UGGGGAAUCUUGCACAAUGGGGGAAACCCUGAUGCAGCGACGCCGCGUGAGCGAUGAAGCCCUUCGGGGUGUAAAGCUCUUUCGGCAGGGAAGAUUAUGACGGUACCUGCAGAAGCAGCUGCGGCUAACUACGUGCCAGCAGCCGCGGUAAUACGUAGGCAGCAAGCGUUGUUCGGAGUUACUGGGCGUAAAGGGUGUGUAGGCGGCUUCCUAAGUUUGGCGUGAAAUCUCCCGGCUCAACCGGGAGGGUGCGUCGAAUACUGAGAGGCUAGAGUGCGGGAGAGGAAAGUGGAAUUCCUGGUGUAGCGGUGAAAUGCGUAGAUAUCAGGAGGAACACCGGUGGUGUAGACGGCUUACUGGACCAUGACUGACGCUGAGACACGAAAGCGUGGGUAGCAAACAGGAUUAGAUACCCUGGUAGUCCACGCCCUAAACGAUGCAUACUUGGUGUGAGCCAUUCAUUUGGUUCGUGCCGGAGCUAACGCGUUAAGUAUGCCGCCUGGGGAGUACGGUCGCAAGGCUG
This 523-nucleotide ribosomal RNA is filed under the name uncultured bacterium. RNAcentral describes it as "bacterial SSU rRNA". It matches the Rfam family "Bacterial small subunit ribosomal RNA", at positions 355 to 896 of the family's 1533-position model. The record is from RNAcentral.